Molecule: ribosomal RNA, 522 nt
Filed under: Shigella flexneri
Lineage: Bacteria; Pseudomonadati; Pseudomonadota; Gammaproteobacteria; Enterobacterales; Enterobacteriaceae
Description: bacterial SSU rRNA
Rfam family: Bacterial small subunit ribosomal RNA
Source: RNAcentral
AAAUUGAAGAGUUUGAUCAUGGCUCAGAUUGAACGCUGGCGGCAGGCCUAACACAUGCAAGUCGAACGGUAACAGGAAACAGCUUGCUGUUUCGCUGACGAGUGGCGGACGGGUGAGUAAUGUCUGGGAAACUGCCCGAUGGAGGGGGAUAACUACUGGAAACGGUAGCUAAUACCGCAUAACGUCGCAAGACCAAAGAGGGGGACCUUCGGGCCUCUUGCUAUCGGAUGUGCCCAGAUGGGAUUAGCUAGUAGGUGGGGUAACGGCUCACCUAGGCGACGAUCCCUAGCUGGUCUGAGAGGAUGACCAGCCACACUGGAACUGAGACACGGUCCAGACUCCUACGGGAGGCAGCAGUGGGGAAUAUUGCACAAUGGGCGCAAGCCUGAUGCAGCCAUGCCGCGUGUAUGAAGAAGGCCUUCGGGUUGUAAAGUACUUUCAGCGGGGAGGAAGGGAGUAAAGUUAAUACCUUUACUCAUUGACGUUACCCGCAGAAGAAGCACCGGCUAACUCCGUGCCAGC